UUUGUGUAAUAAACAGUAGUUCAUGAAGUGUAAACAUGUUGGAAAUGUGGAUUAUACAAUGUUAAAAACAGUCAUGUUACAUACAGUUAGAAGUCAGAGUUAAAAGAGGUUUAGUUGUAAAAUGCAUUCAUAUUGGGUUGUUGGCACAAAUGACAUAAGACCACGUUUAUUGUGGGGUAGUGAAGCAUCCCUUUAUUCUCUCAGCUUUGUAUGUGUAUUCUUAACCAAUCCUGUCCGCAGUUUAUUUCGGUAGGAGGGACUUAGCGUCACCUACGUUGACAACACGUUGGUAAUAGCAGAGGCUGUUUUAUAGGUGUCCGAGAAGGACUGCUGUAAGCUGUAAACGCAUUCUGAAAGAAUUCCUAACUUCCCAGACUGACAAAGAGUCGUCCUGUGGUCUAUGUGUGUGAACUCUGUGAAGCUGCCAGAGGACCGGACAUUGGCCAUACGAGGGAGAGAGUAAGGACCGGGAGAGCCCUGGACCGUGGGAAAGGCUAUAGCUGCUGUACUUGACUGUGGUUCGUUGCCACGUGUGGCUGUGCACUUCACCCCCUUGCCGCUGAAACUACAACCUGCCAUUUGCCCUUUCCCCCCUUCUCCAUCUAUGACUGUACCGAUUUGUGAGUACUCUUAACGCUUUGCACGUGCCUUUUGUUUAUGCUGAUUCAAGACAGCGAACCGGCCAUUUGUUUCUGGCCUCCACGCUCACAAGCAUCGUCCGGGCCUACAACGUUUAUUAUUUUAGCCCAGAAUGAAUGAGUGUGUGAGUGUGGGCUGUGGGAUUCUGAAUUCACUGGUCAUUUGAUCUAUCAUUUUCAUGCAAGUUAUCAGGGAUUAUUUGUGAGCUGUACUUACCAGUUAGAGUUUGGAGUGAUCUGUGUAACUUAAAGGUCAACAGUGAACACAGUUAAUAUUUUCCAGAUCCAGUUCAAAAUUGUAAAAUAAAUUAGUAUUCUUGUCUUACUAAA
Molecule: long non-coding RNA, 968 nt
Organism: Melanotaenia boesemani (Boeseman's rainbowfish)
Lineage: Eukaryota; Metazoa; Chordata; Actinopteri; Atheriniformes; Melanotaeniidae
Exons: 2
Source: RefSeq, a predicted model, not a curated record